Molecule: long non-coding RNA, 903 nt
Organism: Bufo gargarizans (Asiatic toad)
Lineage: Eukaryota; Metazoa; Chordata; Amphibia; Anura; Bufonidae
Exons: 4
Source: RefSeq, a predicted model, not a curated record
GGACUGUUUGACUACGAUCCUGUGCCACCUGCCCUGACCCAUUGCUCGCCUGACCUCGGCUCUGCUGCAUCCUUCAGUACUGCACCGUUGCUACCGGUUACGGCUCCGCUUGCUUGGCUCUGCUACAUCCUUCAGUCCUGCAGCCUCCUAUUCAAGACUCCAGUGCUUCCUGUGUACAGGCCUUGUCCCUGCCAUUGGAUUCCAGCAGUAUUCCACUAGUAUCGUGACAAAGGAAGGAAACCCUGUCCCCGGUGACAAGAGGACACGUAGGAAGCUGUGGUCUCGUGCUCACCAUGCCAGCACAGGGGAGGAGGAGCCAAGCAGAGUGCAGCGCAUGCGCACAUGAGGAGGAGUAUUAAUGCUCCAUAUUGGAGAAGGGCAGAAUGACCCGGGGAAACGGGGAGAGAUUCUGGAAUUCCUUGGAUUUCUUCAUUCAGUCCCUCCGGUGUCAGAGUCCGCAUCCUGACCCUCCAGAAGUCUUCUCCACCGAUCAGCCGUGCAGACCCAUCUCUACACCUGUUCCUACAUUAUAGGAUCCGCUCAGUGGAGAUCUUCUAUAUAAGAUCCUUCUAAUGAUUGACCCGACAAGGAUGGACAAGGACAAGAUGGCAGAGAGGAUAAUAAAUCUCACCCUAGAGAUCCUCUUCCAGCUUACUGGAGAGGACUACACAGUAGUGAAGAAGACCUCUAGUGGGUGCUGUCAGGACCCUGUGUCUGAAGGACGGAGAAGAACCCUAAGCCCAAUCAUGGAGACUCCACCUCACCCCCUAAUACAUGAGGAAAUCAAUAGAGAGAAGAUCCUAGAACUCACCAACAAGAUGAUUGAGCUGCUGACUGGAGAGGUUCCUAUAAGGUGUCAGGAUGUCACCGUCUAUUUCUCCAUGGAGGAGUGGGAGUAUUUAG